AAUGCUUGAACCAGCCAGUAUUAUAGAAAAUAGUUAUGUGGUCAAAUACAUGUUUGAUUUUUGGAAGUGUGAUACAAUAGACUGCACUGUUUGUUCGUACUUUAUAAGGUUGACUGCUGCACAUAAGCUUCCUGAGUACUGGGCAGAUUUAUAGGUUUGUUCUAGCUCCUACCACGUAACGCCCAAGAUGCCCAGUUCUUGAAAAUAAAACUCGGAGGUGCAGCAAGCAUAAGAAAAACAAAAAACUAUUUGCCCAGGAUUACCAACUUCUCACCUUUUAUUAUAUUAAAAUAUAUUCACAACAAAACUUAAAUACAUAAAUAAAAGAAUUGGAGAUACAA
Bombyx mori (domestic silkworm) is the source of this 341-nucleotide RNA transcript. RefSeq lists it as uncharacterized. The transcript has 2 exons. NCBI's taxonomy places the organism in Eukaryota, Metazoa, Arthropoda, Insecta, Lepidoptera, Bombycidae. The record is from RefSeq and is a predicted model, not a curated record.